Molecule: ribosomal RNA, 2287 nt
Filed under: Salmonella enterica
Lineage: Bacteria; Pseudomonadati; Pseudomonadota; Gammaproteobacteria; Enterobacterales; Enterobacteriaceae
Also listed under: 1 other name
Description: partial 23S ribosomal RNA
Rfam family: Bacterial large subunit ribosomal RNA
Source: RNAcentral
AACCGAGUCUUAACCGGGCGUUAAGUUGCAGGGUAUAGACCCGAAACCCGGUGAUCUAGCCAUGGGCAGGUUGAAGGUUGGGUAACACUAACUGGAGGACCGAACCGACUAAUGUUGAAAAAUUAGCGGAUGACCUGUGGCUGGGGGUGAAAGGCCAAUCAAACCGGGAGAUAGCUGGUUCUCCCCGAAAGCUAUUUAGGUAGCGCCUCGUGAAUUCAUCUCCGGGGGUAGAGCACUGUUUCGGCUAGGGGGCCAUCCCGGCUUACCAACCCGAUGCAAACUGCGAAUACCGGAGAAUGUUAUCACGGGAGACACACGGCGGGUGCUAACGUCCGUCGUGAAGAGGGAAACAACCCAGACCGCCAGCUAAGGUCCCAAAGUCAUGGUUAAGUGGGAAACGAUGUGGGAAGGCCCAGACAGCCAGGAUGUUGGCUUAGAAGCAGCCAUCAUUUAAAGAAAGCGUAAUAGCUCACUGGUCGAGUCGGCCUGCGCGGAAGAUGUAACGGGGCUAAACCAUGCACCGAAGCUGCGGCAGCGACGCUGAUGCGUUGUUGGGUAGGGGAGCGUUCUGUAAGCCUGCGAAGGUGUGUCGUGAGGCAUGCUGGAGGUAUCAGAAGUGCGAAUGCUGACAUAAGUAACGAUAAAGCGGGUGAAAAGCCCGCUCGCCGGAAGACCAAGGGUUCCUGUCCAACGUUAAUCGGGGCAGGGUGAGUCGACCCCUAAGGCGAGGCCGAAAGGCGUAGUCGAUGGGAAACGGGUUAAUAUUCCCGUACUUGGUGUUACUGCGAAGGGGGGACGGAGAAGGCUAUGUUGGCCGGGCGACGGUUGUCCCGGUUUAAGCGUGUAGGUGUGUGUUCCAGGUAAAUCCGGUUCACUUUAACACUGAGGCGUGAUGACGAGGCACUACGGUGCUGAAGCAACAAAUGCCCUGCUUCCAGGAAAAGCCUCUAAGCAUCAGGUAACAUCAAAUCGUACCCCAAACCGACACAGGUGGUCAGGUAGAGAAUACCAAGGCGCUUGAGAGAACUCGGGUGAAGGAACUAGGCAAAAUGGUGCCGUAACUUCGGGAGAAGGCACGCUGACACGUAGGUGAAGUGAUUUACUCAUGGAGCUGAAGUCAGUCGAAGAUACCAGCUGGCUGCAACUGUUUAUUAAAAACACAGCACUGUGCAAACACGAAAGUGGACGUAUACGGUGUGACGCCUGCCCGGUGCCGGAAGGUUAAUUGAUGGGGUCAGCGCAAGCGAAGCUCCUGAUCGAAGCCCCGGUAAACGGCGGCCGUAACUAUAACGGUCCUAAGGUAGCGAAAUUCCUUGUCGGGUAAGUUCCGACCUGCACGAAUGGCGUAAUGAUGGCCAGGCUGUCUCCACCCGAGACUCAGUGAAAUUGAACUCGCUGUGAAGAUGCAGUGUACCCGCGGCAAGACGGAAAGACCCCGUGAACCUUUACUAUAGCUUGACACUGAACAUUGAGCCUUGAUGUGUAGGAUAGGUGGGAGGCUUUGAAGUGUGGACGCCAGUCUGCAUGGAGCCGGCCUUGAAAUACCACCCUUUAAUGUUUGAUGUUCUAACGUGGACCCGUGAUCCGGGUUGCGGACAGUGUCUGGUGGGUAGUUUGACUGGGGCGGUCUCCUCCUAAAGAGUAACGGAGGAGCACGAAGGUUGGCUAAUCCUGGUCGGACAUCAGGAGGUUAGUGCAAUGGCAUAAGCCAGCUUGACUGCGAGCGUGACGGCGCGAGCAGGUGCGAAAGCAGGUCAUAGUGAUCCGGUGGUUCUGAAUGGAAGGGCCAUCGCUCAACGGAUAAAAGGUACUCCGGGGAUAACAGGCUGAUACCGCCCAAGAGUUCAUAUCGACGGCGGUGUUUGGCACCUCGAUGUCGGCUCAUCACAUCCUGGGGCUGAAGUAGGUCCCAAGGGUAUGGCUGUUCGCCAUUUAAAGUGGUACGCGAGCUGGGUUUAGAACGUCGUGAGACAGUUCGGUCCCUAUCUGCCGUGGGCGCUGGAGAACUGAGGGGGGCUGCUCCUAGUACGAGAGGACCGGAGUGGACGCAUCACUGGUGUUCGGGUUGUCAUGCCAAUGGCACUGCCCGGUAGCUAAAUGCGGAAGAGAUAAGUGCUGAAAGCAUCUAAGCACGAAACUUGCCCCGAGAUGAGUUCUCCCUGAGACUUAGAGUCUCCUGAAGGAACGUUGAAGACGACGACGUUGAUAGGCCGGGUGUGUAAGCGCAGCGAUGCGUUGAGCUAACCGGUACUAAUGAACCGUGAGGCUUAACCUUACAACGCCGAAG